RNAcentral lists this ribosomal RNA (734 nucleotides) under uncultured Leptotrichia sp. RNAcentral describes it as "bacterial SSU rRNA". It matches the Rfam family "Bacterial small subunit ribosomal RNA", at positions 28 to 776 of the family's 1533-position model. Lineage: Bacteria; Fusobacteriati; Fusobacteriota; Fusobacteriia; Fusobacteriales; Leptotrichiaceae. The record is from RNAcentral.
GAUGAACGCUGACAGAAUGCUUAACACAUGCAAGUCGAUGGGGAAGGCUGAGCUUGCUUAGCUGGUAACCAUGGCGGACGGGUGAGUAACGCGUAAGGAACUUACCUGCGGGACUGGGAUAACGGAGGGAAACUUCUGACAAGACCGGAUAAAGUUACUGGGCAGCAUUGUUUGGUAAUGAAAGGAGACGCCUGCGGAGAGUCUUGCGUCCUAUUAGCUAGUUGGUUGGGUAACGGCUGACCAAGGCGAAGAUAGGUAGCCGGCCUGAGAGGGUGGACGGCCACAAGGGGACUGAGAUACGGCCCUUACUCCUACGGGAGGCAGCAGUGGGGAAUAUUGGACAAUGGGGGCAACCCUGAUCCAGCAAUUCUGUGUGCACGAAGAAGGUUUUCGGAUUGUAAAGUGCUUUCAGCAGGGAAGAAGGAAGUGACGGUACCUGCAGAAGAAGCGACGGCUAAAUACGUGCCAGCAGCCGCGGUAAUACGUAUGUCGCGAGCGUUAUCCGGAAUUAUUGGGCAUAAAGGGCAUCUAGGCGGCCUAACAAGUCAGGGGUGAAAACCUGCGGCUCAACCGCAGGCCUGCCUUUGAAACUGUAAGGCUGGAGUACCGGAGAGGUGGACGGAACUGCACGAGUAGAGGUGAAAUUCGUAGAUAUGUGCAGGAAUGCCGAUGAUGAAGAUAGUCCACUGGACGGAAACUGACGCUGAAGUGCGAAAGCCGGGGGAGCGAGCAGG